UGACACCCUCAUCCCUUACUCCCUGGC
RNAcentral lists this non-coding RNA (27 nucleotides) under Mus musculus (house mouse). Lineage: Eukaryota; Metazoa; Chordata; Mammalia; Rodentia; Muridae. The record is from RNAcentral.